Molecule: ribosomal RNA, 251 nt
Filed under: uncultured bacterium
Lineage: Bacteria
Description: partial 16S ribosomal RNA
Rfam family: Bacterial small subunit ribosomal RNA
Source: RNAcentral
ACAAGAUAGUGAUAUGGAGCAAAACCCUAAAAGCGGUCUCAGUUCGGAUUGAAGGCUGAAAUUCGCCUUCAUGAAGCUGGAAUUGCUAGUAAUGGCAGGUCAGCAUACUGCCGUGAAUACGUUCCCGGGCCUUGUACACACCGCCCGUCACACCAUGAGAGUUGGAAAUACCCGAAGCCUGUGAGCUAACUGUAAAGAGGCAGCAGUCGAAGGUAGAGCCAAUGAUUGGGGUGAAGUCGUAACAAGGUACC